RNAcentral lists this long non-coding RNA (127 nucleotides) under Danio rerio (zebrafish). RNAcentral's name for it is "lncRNA si:dkey-246j7.2 (ENSDARG00000098564.2)". The record is from RNAcentral. Lineage: Eukaryota; Metazoa; Chordata; Actinopteri; Cypriniformes; Danionidae.
CAGACACACCUGCACGACACUCCCCUUCUCCAGCACAGGAAUUCACACUUUUCUCAUGGACAAUUAAAAGUAUCAUCAAGAUGUGGUUCUGAAGUGAUCACAGUGAGCUGCAGAUAUGGAAAACAUG